This is a long non-coding RNA of Ipomoea triloba (trilobed morning glory), 767 nucleotides long. RefSeq lists it as uncharacterized. The transcript has 4 exons. NCBI's taxonomy places the organism in Eukaryota, Viridiplantae, Streptophyta, Magnoliopsida, Solanales, Convolvulaceae. The record is from RefSeq and is a predicted model, not a curated record.
CUCCCCAGAACCCCAACCACAGUCCGCCCACAAGCACAAAUCCUCAUAGAGUCAAUCAAGAAGGUGGUAAGAUCCUUGCAUAGUUCUCCAGAAUCGGCGCCUUCGACAAUCGAAGGUGAUUGCUAAAAAUGGGCCUUGGCAUGCCUUGUAGAGAAUCAUAUGCUCACUUGUGAUGAAGAAAUGCGGCAAACAAGAGAGUAUUGCGGCAAUUGCAAGGAGCUACGCAUUUGUCAACGAGCGUGCAAGAAUGAUGGACUGCAAUGCUUCAUGCCUUCAUGGUGGGUGGUCUUCAUGAAUUUGGAGCCACAAAUAUUAUUCUAACAUCCUUCACGCAGGAAAAGUUCUCCGCUGCAAUUACUUACUACCACAAGGCUUUAUGGCUCAAACCAGACGAUAAAUUCUGCACCGAGAGAUGUUGACAUUGGCUCUAGCCGAUGAAUGUCGACAUGGCACCAUUCCAAGAAUUGAAUCUCACCAUAAUGAGCUAUUGAUUUAUUAGAGGGCACACAAGAUGCAAACUUUCUGUAUUGUAGUUAUAGCAAGUUGGUAUAUACCCAUUGGCCAUACCCCAUCAUCUGUAUCCAAGUAAAAGUCAUAAUUUGGGUGUUCAGUUGCACCAUCAGAUCAGCAUCUAAGAGUAUCAUUUUCAAGGGCUGUAUCUUGACUUUAUUACCAAGUUAUAUGACUGGUGUUUAUUUCCCAUUUAUUAGGGAAAAGUCUGGUUUAAAUUCUCAAAUAUGUGAAUAUAUAUGAUUAGGUUCAGUUUA